GGGGGGCAAGGAAGAUCAUUCACGAACAGCAGACUGCGGAUCAACGUGGUGCAAUACGCAACAGCACCACGGGGAAAGGCUCAAAUGUCGGCAGUGUUUGCCUGGAUCGUUGAGAAGAACGCGUGAGCCACACACCAUGUCAAUGGAUGGCCGAUACAAGCGGCCACCUGGGGAGCACUGGUACCCAUCCUCCACCACACGGUGCAAGGUCCGGUUACAGCACAGCACCCCUCGGUCCUCUACACCAUACGGAGUUGUACCGCAGCACUAGGAGAGAGACACACACUGCUUGGGGGAUUUCUUCUUCUUCCCCAUCGUCUUCUUCAGAUACCUCCUCUUCUAAAUCACUGUUCUCUUGUUCCUCCUGGACAUCUGAAAAAAAUCUGAUCUACGACCUGUUGGGCACUGAAACGUGUACUCAUGGCUUCAGCAAAGAGAGAACUGGGGACUGUCAUCUGCAACACCUUUAUAGCCUCUAACUGCAUAACCCAUUAGUAAACAAUGCUUUCAAUAAAUGUUUAUUUUGUCUGAAA
Molecule: long non-coding RNA, 533 nt
Organism: Salvelinus fontinalis (brook trout)
Lineage: Eukaryota; Metazoa; Chordata; Actinopteri; Salmoniformes; Salmonidae
Exons: 3
Source: RefSeq, a predicted model, not a curated record